Molecule: ribosomal RNA, 488 nt
Filed under: uncultured Exiguobacterium sp.
Lineage: Bacteria; Bacillati; Bacillota; Bacilli; Caryophanales
Description: bacterial SSU rRNA
Rfam family: Bacterial small subunit ribosomal RNA
Source: RNAcentral
CAACUCUUGACAUCCCAUUGACCGCUUGAGAGAUCAAGUUUUCCUUUCGGGGACAAUGGUGACAGGUGGUGCAUGGUUGUCUUCAGCUCGUGUCGUGAGAUGUUGGGUUAAGUCCCGCAACGAGCGCAACCCCUAUCCUUAGUUGCCAGCAUUCAGUUGGGCACUCUAGGGAGACUGCCGGUGACAAACCGGAGGAAGGUGGGGAUGACGUCAAAUCAUCAUGCCCCUUAUGAGUUGGGCUACACACGUGCUACAAUGGACGGUACAAAGGGCAGCGAGACCGCGAGGUGGAGCCAAUCCCAUAAAGCCGUUCCCAGUUCGGAUUGCAGGCUGCAACUCGCCUGCAUGAAGUCGGAAUCGCUAGUAAUCGCAGGUCAGCAUACUGCGGUGAAUACGUUCCCGGGUCUUGUACACACCGCCCGUCACACCACGAGAGUUUGCAACACCCGAAGCCGGUGAGUAACCGACAAGGAGCCAGCCGUCGAAGU